GGGAGUAUAGCUUAGGGGUAGAGUACUUGCCUAGCAUGCAUGAGGUCUUGGGUUCAAUUCCCAGCACUGCAA
This 72-nucleotide transfer RNA is filed under the name Ictidomys tridecemlineatus (thirteen-lined ground squirrel). RNAcentral describes it as "Spermophilus tridecemlineatus (thirteen-lined ground squirrel) tRNA". It matches the Rfam family "tRNA". Rfam says of the family: Transfer RNA (tRNA) molecules are approximately 80 nucleotides in length. Their secondary structure includes four short double-helical elements and three loops (D, anti-codon, and T loops). The record is from Rfam by way of RNAcentral. Lineage: Eukaryota; Metazoa; Chordata; Mammalia; Rodentia; Sciuridae.